This is a long non-coding RNA of Lutra lutra (Eurasian river otter), 2310 nucleotides long. RefSeq lists it as uncharacterized. NCBI's taxonomy places the organism in Eukaryota, Metazoa, Chordata, Mammalia, Carnivora, Mustelidae. The record is from RefSeq and is a predicted model, not a curated record. The transcript is spliced from 13 exons.
GGUAGCCAGACCCAACAGCGGCAGCUCCGUUGGGAGCCGCCAGAGCUUUGACCUGUGUCUGGCAUGAAAUGAGUCAGUUUUCCUGAAGUACAGCAGCACAGGUAAGAGUAAGCUGUAUCGUUUGUGGCAGUUUCCUGGGUGUUUUGGAUGUCCUAUUAUUGCAACAAGGGAAUCACAGUAGCAGGAGACGACACUUUGCCUGAUGAGCCAAUGGGCCCACACAGCAACAGUGCUAGCUCCACUCUGACUUGUCCCCACUAAACAGAACACAAGAAAUGGACUUUGAAAAGCCACUAUGAGAAACUAAAAAGCCACUUCUCAAGAAUGUUCACUUUGGGGAAAGCCAACUGCCAUAAAAGAAGUCUGAAUAACUUGAGACUGUCAUGCUGUGAGGAAGCCCAAGCUAGCUCUCUGGAGAAGCCUUGUGAACAAAGAGAUGCUCACCCACCCCCUACCCAUUCCAGCCAUCCACUCCAGGAAGAUAUAUGAGUGAAAGGGCCUACAGAUAAUGAUCUCACCAGGAUAUGAAAAGAGGCUUAGUUUCUUAGUAAAUCAAAUAUAUCUCACUGGAUUCUGAGACCAGGGAAUUAAGAAUCAACACAAUGCUAAGAUAUGAAACCUUCUGGAUGAUACAAAACUGCCUACAGGCAAGACUCAGCGCUAUUGAAUGAAUCAAAAGAAUGUACUUGGAGUUUGUAUUAUUGCUUCAGACAUGGCAAACAUUUGAGCCCAUCUACUCUCAGAUUAUCAUCAUGGACCCUCCAUAAAAGUGACCCUUACUCAACCCUGGUUUGGAAAAAGAUUGUCCUCCAUCUGACCUCUCAUAAGAAGUAUUCCUGCCCAGAUGAAAUGAAGGUACUCACAGAGCCUGAUUGCCGUGAUUUCAGACGAUGAUCAGUUGACAUGGAAAGAGAAUCCUAAAGUUCCUGACCUUUCAGGAAGUGUACUGGAUGUGAGGACACCUGAGAACAAUUGCCUGCUGGAUCCAAGUUCCACAUGCAUGUGGAAAAUCUCUUAAGACCCCUGACUUGAUGGCAUGGCUGGUUUAGGAUUCCACUGUCAGAGAGAGACCCCAACUUCAUCCCCUACUGGAAGGUCAACCUUGAAUCCAGGUUCACUGAGGUGCUGAUCCUAACAGGACGUUACCCGUGAGAGCUAAGUGUUCUUAUUUUGGAGAAGAGCAACAUGGUGGCCAAAAAAGUGGAUCCACAUUCUCUUUCCCUCGAAUCUCUUCACCCAGGUGUUACCAAGUUUUGGUUCACAACCACAGAAGUGCAGGAUAUUGAGGCCUGAGAAUCUGGAUGGAAUGGAUGGAAUGCUCACCUUUUCACCAGGGGGCGACAUGGAAUAUCAAGAGCAAGAGAGAGACCUACCAUACUGCACACAGAAGGGCAGAGGGCGAGGAAGAGAAGAAGACUCCUGGCUGAGUGUGGAGCCUGACAUGGGGCUGGAUCCACAACCCUGAGAUCAUGACCUACCUGAAAUUAAGAAUUAGAGGCUCAAAUUAAGAGUUAGAGGCUCAACGCCCUAUAAAUUUUAAACCAGAAAUUCUAAGUUUUGCCAGAACUUUCUCUGUCUAUGAAGGAAUGGAGCCAUCACCUUCUGCUAUCUGAAAUAAACAAUAUAGAAAGGCUCUGUCCAAGGAAAAAUCAUAAGAUCAGUAGACUCUUACUGCUUUUUCCCCUUACUUCAAUUCCCCUUAUAUCAAGGGGACAUGGGAAUGGCAAUAGGCAUUUGUGAGAUAUGAUUAAUGGGAAACUGUGUUGGGUUAAUAGAAUAGAAUUAUGUGAUUUUUGAAACAUGACUUACAAGUCUAUUUCUUGCUAGUUGUCCCGUGUGGGAUUGGCUCAUUCUGGCAUAGAUGUGCAAGGCCAGAAGUUGGGCUGUUAACGUUAAUGUUAGUUAGAUAAUAUUACCGUAGAAAAUGUUUAUGUGUUAACAUAAACAAGUGUUAACUAGUCAUAUAAAAGUUCUCCACUCUGUUUCUACUUUUUCAGUGUGCAUGAUAAUAAGAUUCUUUUAAUAUGUCCAGUACAACCUAUAAUAAAAAGUGAGAAUAGAAUAUAUUUUGUGAGAGCUUACAUGACCCAUGCAUUCUGAAUAUACAUUUAAAAAAUCAGUCUGUCAUGCCAGAGGCAAGGGUAAAUUAUCUUUCUCAUUUUCUUUAUAGAAAUUAUUUUACAAAGUUGUCCAGUUAUGUCAAAUUAUUCACCAUGUAGCCAAAAUAAAGAGGAAAUGACUAUAGAGUGAAUUGAUCAAUAAAUUACUAAAAAUGUUGUUACUUUUCUGGAUUUUGUGAUGCUUAGGGAA